CAACCAUAUCACGUUGAAACACCGGUUCGCGUACGAUCAACGAAGUUAAGUAACGUCGAGCCUGGUCAGUACUUAGAUGGGUGGCCGCUUGGGAAUACCAGGUGCUGUAG
Molecule: non-coding RNA, 110 nt
Organism: Acanthosepion pharaonis
Lineage: Eukaryota; Metazoa; Mollusca; Cephalopoda; Sepiida; Sepiidae
Source: the annotation of a GenBank genome assembly